RNAcentral lists this unclassified non-coding RNA (355 nucleotides) under soil metagenome. RNAcentral describes it as "partial contains 5.8S ribosomal RNA, internal transcribed spacer 2, and large subunit ribosomal RNA". The stretch from base 1 to 120 matches the Rfam family "5.8S ribosomal RNA", at positions 35 to 154 of the family's 154-position model. The record is from RNAcentral.
GAUGAAGAACGUAGCGAAAUGCGAUAAGUAAUGUGAAUUGCAGAAUUCAGUGAAUCAUCGAAUCUUUGAACGCACAUUGCGCCCAUUAGUAUUCUAGUGGGCAUGCCUGUUCGAGCGUCAUUAAGUCCACUUAAGCCCUGCUUAGUGUUGGGAGACUGCUCCAGCGGUGCUACCCUGUAGCUACCCUGCAGCUCCUUAAAGACAGCGGCGGAGUUGUGGUAUCCUCUGAGCUUAGUAACUUGUUCUAGCUUUCGAGUACACCACUUCCCCUGCCGUAAAACCCUUAAUUUUUAAUGGUUGACCUCGGAUCAGGUAGGAAUACCCGCUGAACUUAAGCAUAUCAAUAAGCGGAGGA